CCUCAUUUGGCUGUCACUCAGGGUGAUCUGACGUUAUUUUAAUAAUCUGCCAUUCCUGCUAAUGCAAAUCACUGCUGGUGCUGUGAAGGAAAUCAUCCACAUCUUUACUGUCACUUCUCAUUAGCAGAGUAGUCAGGUAAAUGAGUCCAUCCACAUCUUUACUGUCACUUCUCAUUAGCAGAGUAGUCAGAUAAAUGAGUCCAUCCACAUCUUUACUGUCACUUCUCAUUAGCAGAGUAGUCAGAUAAAUGAGUCCAUCCACAUCUUUACUGUCACUUCUCAUUAGCAGAGUAGUCAGAUAAAUGAGUCCAUCCACAUCUUUACUGUCACUUCUCAUUAGCAGAGUAGUCAGGUAAAUGAGUCCAUCCACAUCUUUACUGUCACUUCUCAUUAGCAGAGUAGUCAGAUAAAUGAGUCCAUCCACAUCUUUACUGUCACUUCUCAUUAGCAGAGUAGUCAGGUAAAUGAGUCCAUCCACAUCUUUACUGUCACUUCUCAUUAGCAGAGUAGUCAGUAAAAGAGUCCAUCCACCAUAGCAGUGGUGCAUCUUACUACACAAGUAGCCUGGAACUGCUAAUCCUGAGAUGGUUUCUGAUGUCCAUGCUUUCCGCCCCU
RNAcentral lists this long non-coding RNA (615 nucleotides) under Salmo salar (Atlantic salmon). RNAcentral's name for it is "lncRNA (ENSSSAG00000090547.1, ENSSSAG00075027784.1)". The record is from RNAcentral. Lineage: Eukaryota; Metazoa; Chordata; Actinopteri; Salmoniformes; Salmonidae.